GCACACUUGCCUUAUCUUAUUCAGCAGAACCUUCUCUAAUUCUAGGGAUGAGUUGGUUGUGCUCUGCUGUUGGUAUUUUGAUGGCCAUCAUCUAGGAGCGUUGGAAAUGUUCUUCUCCCGCAGAACUACAGAUCCACUUCAGGCAGUGAAGAUUCUGCAAUAAAAAAACUGUUCCAGAACUUUGAUCAUGCUUCUCACCUGUCUGCAUACCAAGUUCCCUGAGUAAUUUCUGGAGGUGGAGGAGUAACAAAGAAGGGAACUAUUCAUACUUAAAAUGCGGAUGCUGCUCUAUGUUUUCUACUCUAUUCUUUCUAAAGAUGUGAACUGAUUUUUGACUACCUUUUAAAGUAGUUAAUCUAAUUU
RNAcentral lists this long non-coding RNA (363 nucleotides) under Numida meleagris (helmeted guineafowl). RNAcentral describes it as "lncRNA (ENSNMEG00000021231.1)". Lineage: Eukaryota; Metazoa; Chordata; Aves; Galliformes; Numididae. The record is from RNAcentral.